Molecule: ribosomal RNA, 282 nt
Filed under: uncultured bacterium
Lineage: Bacteria
Description: partial 16S ribosomal RNA
Rfam family: Bacterial small subunit ribosomal RNA
Source: RNAcentral
ACUCCUACGGGGAGGCAGCAGGUGGGAAUAUUGCACGAAUGGGCGCAAGCCUGAUGCAGCCAUGCCGCGUGUGUGAAGAAGGGCCUUCGGGUUGAUGAAAGCACUUUUCAGUUGUGAGGAAAGGUUAGUCGCUAAUAUCGGCUAGCUGUGACGUUAGCAACAGAAGAAGCACCGGCUAACUCCGUGCCAGCAGCCGCGGUAAUACGGAGGGUGCGAGCGUUAAUCGGAAUUACUGGGCGUAAAGCGCGUGUAGGUGGCUUGUUAAGCCAGAUGUGAAAGCCC